RNAcentral lists this ribosomal RNA (319 nucleotides) under uncultured Bacteroidales bacterium. RNAcentral describes it as "partial 16S ribosomal RNA". Lineage: Bacteria; Pseudomonadati; Bacteroidota; Bacteroidia; Bacteroidales. The record is from RNAcentral.
GGAGUCUGGUCCGUGUCUCAGUACCAGUGUGGGGGACCUUCCUCUCAGAACCCCUACGCAUCGUCGCCUUGGUGGGCCGUUACCCCGCCAACAAGCUAAUGCGCCGCAUGCCCAUCCCGGACCGACGGAUCUUUCACCCUAAGGACAUGCGUCCUCAGGGCAUAUGGGGUAUUAGACCCAGUUUCCCGGGUUUAUCCCCCUGUCCGGGGCAGGUCGCAUACGUGUUACUCACCAGUGCGCCGGUCGCCAUCAUCAGUGGCAAGCCACUGACAUGCUGCCCCUCGACUUGCAUGUGUUAAGCCUGUAGCUAGCGUUCAUC